AUUGAACGCUGGCGGCAGGCCUAACACAUGCAAGUCGAGCGCGCGGCGGACGGGCGAACAAUGUAUGGGCAUCUGCGCGAUAGAGGGGGAUAACUACUGGAAACGGUGGCUAAUACCGCAUACUACGCUAUGGACCCAUACGGGAUUAGCUAGUAGGUGGGGUAUAGGCUCACCUAGGCGACGGUCGCUAGCUGGUCUGAGAGGAUGAGCAGCCACACUGGGACUGAGACAAGGCCCAGACUCCUACGGGAGGCAGCAGUGGGGAAUAUUGCACAAUGGGCGCAAGCCUGAUGCAGCCAUGCCGCGUGUAUGAAGAAGGCCUUAGGGUUGUAAAGUACUUUCAGCGGGGAGGCGUUACCCGCAGAAGAAGCACCGGCUAACUCCGUGGCAGCAGCCGCGGUAAUUC
This 406-nucleotide ribosomal RNA is filed under the name uncultured bacterium. RNAcentral's name for it is "partial 16S ribosomal RNA". It matches the Rfam family "Bacterial small subunit ribosomal RNA", at positions 30 to 526 of the family's 1533-position model. The record is from RNAcentral.